Molecule: long non-coding RNA, 552 nt
Organism: Trichosurus vulpecula (common brushtail)
Lineage: Eukaryota; Metazoa; Chordata; Mammalia; Diprotodontia; Phalangeridae
Exons: 3
Source: RefSeq, a predicted model, not a curated record
AGCAGGCUUAACAAACCCAGUAUAAUUCAAUCAGCAGAAGAAAUGAACAGCCCCAAUCAUGAGAAGCAUGAGCUGUCUGCAUCACCCACCCUCCACACUGAGGAAGCCCCAAGAUACAUGUGAGAGCAAGGAAGGGAUGAAACCUGGGUUUAUUGAUGCUCUUCUGUCUUCCGCAAGACAAGAAAGGAGUUCAUGCUGGUCCUGCAAGAGGCUGCUCCAUUAAGAGCUGCUCCUCCCGGUUCAAUAGUCCACCAUGCUGCCAUACUUCUCUUGAAGGGCAGAGAAUUGCCAUUCCACUGUGAGAGAUCCCUGUGGAUUCUUUGGAUUACGUAAAGAUGUUCAGCUGAUCAUACAUGUCUUAGGUCCAAUCCAAGCAGCUGGGCCAUAAUAGACACAUUAUCUUGCUUCUCACAUGUUCCCUUCCUUUGUUUGGGACCCUUGUAAGUAUUCUGUUUUGAGGGCAACCAGAGAGCCAACCAACUGGUUUUGGAAUAAAAAUGCUAAUGUUCAGAUUAACAUCUAAGGCAUGACUUAAUACUUUCCCAAAUGUCA